Molecule: ribosomal RNA, 316 nt
Filed under: uncultured bacterium
Lineage: Bacteria
Description: bacterial SSU rRNA
Rfam family: Bacterial small subunit ribosomal RNA
Source: RNAcentral
GACGAACGCUGGCGGCGUGCUUAACACAUGCAAGUCGAGCGGUAAGGCCCUUCGGGUACACGAGCGGCGAACGGGUGAGUAACACGUGGGUGACCUGCCCUUAGCUCUGGGAUAAGCCUGGGAAACUGGGUCUAAUACCGGAUAUGACCUCAUGACGCAUGUUGUGGGGUGGAAAGCCUUGUGCGGCUAGGGAUGGGCCCGCGGCCUAUCAGCUUGUUGUGGGGUGAUGGCCACCAAGCGACGACGGUAGCCGGCCUGAGAGGGCGACCGGCCACACUGGGACUGAGACACGGCCCAGACUCCUACGGGAGGCAGC